AAUCAACGCUGGCGGCGUGCCUCAGACAUGCAAGUCGAACGAUUAAAGCUCUCUUCGGAGAGUGCAUAGAGUGGCGCACGGGUGAGUAACACGUAAGUAAUCUACCUUCGAGUGGGGAAUAACAGUCGGAAACGACUGCUAAUACCGCAUAAUGCAGCGGCAUCGCAAGAUGACAGUUGUUAAAGGAGCAAUUCGCUUGAAGAGGAGCUUGCGGCAGAUUAGCUUGUUGGUAAGGUAACGGCUUACCAAGGCUACGAUCUGUAACCGGUCUAAGAGGACGGUCGGUCACACUGACACUGAAUAACGGGUCAGACUCCUACGGGAGGCAGCAGUCGGGAAUUUUGGGUCAAUGGGCGAAAGACCUGACCCAGCAACGCCGCGUGAAGGAUGAAGUAUUUCGGUAUGUAAACUUCGAAAGAAUGGGAAGAAUCAAUGACGGUACCAUUUAUAAGGUCCGGCUAACUACGUGCCAGCAGCAGCCG
This 482-nucleotide ribosomal RNA is filed under the name uncultured bacterium. Its description in RNAcentral is "bacterial SSU rRNA". It matches the Rfam family "Bacterial small subunit ribosomal RNA", at positions 32 to 520 of the family's 1533-position model. The record is from RNAcentral.